ACACGGAAGGCAAACAUUUUCAGUGUC
Molecule: small RNA, 27 nt
Filed under: Bombyx mori (domestic silkworm)
Lineage: Eukaryota; Metazoa; Arthropoda; Insecta; Lepidoptera; Bombycidae
Description: ovarian small RNA-1270
Source: RNAcentral